AUGAGUAACACAUCAUCCUCCAUUAUGAGUUGGAAUGUUAGGGGCCUGAAUUCACCGGCGCGAUGAUUCGCAAUGCAUGAGCUCGCCGAAUCCCAUAGGACAUCUAUCCUCUGCCCGUAAGAAACGAAGUUGGAAAUCUGGUUUGCUAGCAUUGUUAGAGAACUAGGUGGUUCCUCACCGAAUGGGUGUGCGGUUUGGCCGGCAACUGGUACCAGAGGAGGGGCUGUAAUCCUAUGGAACAAACGUCUAGUUGACCUAGUCACACACUCUGUGGGUUGUUUCUCGAUCACGACUAAGGUCUCGAUUGUGCAGAGCAGCUCGUCGUUCUGGCUGACGAUAGUUUAUGGGCCCGCCGAAGAUGCCCGCAUGGAUGCCUUCCUGGUUGAGCUGACCCAAGUUGUCCCGCCCAUGGGUGAGCCGUGGCUGAUCACUGGCAACUUCAACAUCAUCUAUGAAGCCCGCGACAAGAAUAACUUCAACCUGAACAGAAGAAUAAUGGCAAGUUCAGAAGGUCCAUCGACACCUCCGUUCUGA
This 534-nucleotide ribosomal RNA is filed under the name Triticum aestivum (bread wheat). RNAcentral describes it as "partial small subunit ribosomal RNA". Lineage: Eukaryota; Viridiplantae; Streptophyta; Magnoliopsida; Poales; Poaceae. The record is from RNAcentral.